AUACGUAGGGUGCGAGCGUUAUCCGGAAUCAUUGGGCGUAAAGAGCUCGUAGGCGGUUCAGCAAGUCGGCUGUGAAAGUUCGAGGCUCAACCUCGAAAUUGCAGUCGAUACUGCUGUGACUCGAGUCCGGUAGAGGAGAAUGGAAUUCUCGGUGUAGCGGUGAAAUGCGCAGAUAUCGAGAGGAACACCAGUAGCGGAGGCGGUUCUCUGGGCCGGCACUGACGCUGAGGAGCGAAAGCGUGGGGAGCAAACAGGAUUAGAAACCCCGGUAGUCC
This 275-nucleotide ribosomal RNA is filed under the name uncultured bacterium. RNAcentral describes it as "partial 16S ribosomal RNA". It matches the Rfam family "Bacterial small subunit ribosomal RNA", at positions 523 to 796 of the family's 1533-position model. The record is from RNAcentral.